RNAcentral lists this ribosomal RNA (514 nucleotides) under Taophila sp. JGZ04-2021. RNAcentral describes it as "partial 12S ribosomal RNA". Lineage: Eukaryota; Metazoa; Arthropoda; Insecta; Coleoptera; Chrysomelidae. The record is from RNAcentral.
UGCGGUUAAACAAAUAACACUAUUAUUUUUUUUCGGUUUUUAAUAUUUAGUUAAUAAUAAUAAAUUUUUAUUUAUUUUAAUAUUGGGUGAAAUCCUAUUUUUUAUUUAAUUAGUUUUUUGUUUCUGAAGCUAAGAAAUCUAGAUUAAAAACUGGGAUUAGAUACCCCAUUAUUCUGGGUGUAGAGGUUACUAACCUAAUUAAUAUAAGUUAUGUUCUUUAAAAUUAAAAAAUUUGGCGGUGUUUUAUUCCAAUCAGGGGAAUCUGUUCUGUAAUCGAUAGUCCACGAUUAAUAUAACUUAUUUUUGCUUGUAUAUCGUCGUUGUUAAUUAUUUUUAGAAAUAUAUAAUUUUUUAAUUUUAUUUUAUGUUAAAUCAGAUCAAGGUGCAGUUGUUUAUAAGUAGUAAUGGAUUACAAUAAAUUUAUUUAAGGAUUGAUCUUAUAAUUAAGGUCGUGAAUUUGGAUUUGAAUGUAAUUUUGAUUUUUAAUCAAGGUGAAUUAGGCUCUAAAAUGUGU